AAAUUGAAGAGUUUGAUCAUGGCUCAGAUUGAACGCUGGCGGCAGGCCUAACACAUGCAAGUCGAACGGUAACAGAAAGCAGCUUGCUGCUUUGCUGACGAGUGGCGGACGGGUGAGUAAUGUCUGGGAAACUGCCUGAUGGAGGGGGAUAACUACUGGAAACGGUAGCUAAUACCGCAUAACGUCGCAAGACCAAAGAGGGGGACCUUCGGGCCUCUUGCCAUCGGAUGUGCCCAGAUGGGAUUAGCUAGUAGGUGGGGUAACGGCUCACCUAGGCGACGAUC
Molecule: ribosomal RNA, 284 nt
Filed under: Escherichia coli
Lineage: Bacteria; Pseudomonadati; Pseudomonadota; Gammaproteobacteria; Enterobacterales; Enterobacteriaceae
Description: partial 16S ribosomal RNA
Rfam family: Bacterial small subunit ribosomal RNA
Source: RNAcentral